Non-coding RNA from Paramuricea clavata, 455 nucleotides. NCBI's taxonomy places the organism in Eukaryota, Metazoa, Cnidaria, Anthozoa, Malacalcyonacea, Plexauridae. The record is from the annotation of a GenBank genome assembly.
UUUCAUUGGCUGUAGACAAGAGUGCGAUUACAGCUCAGAAAAGGUGCGAUUAAUGCUCAAAUCGCACUCCUGUAAACCAAUGAAAUUGCAGUAUUUGCCACUGAUUACAGAAGAUAAAUAAUUAAUGAAAUAAUUGCACUCCUCUUAACCAAUCAGAUUGCAGUAAUUUUGUCAUGUAUAUAAUAAAUACCGAAACAACAGCGAAAAAAACAUAUUCAUUGAGAAUAUAAAUUGUUCAGAAAAGUUUGCAACGAAAGACAAAUUAAUUUGCAGUCAACAAGCACUUACUAUACUACCAAGCAUCUGUAUAAUAUAUCUUAGCUUUUUUGUGAGAUAUACCGGUUCUAAAACCAUUUCUUUCACUUCGUCUUCGAGUGGUAAAACAAAAGUAUUUCAUACAUGUUCAAGGCCAAGCGGUUUUUGGCCGAACAAAUUGUCGAGACAUUGUAACAGAG